GGGGGGCGACCGCGCUGCGCUCCCGGCGCGGGGCCGCGUGUAUUUGUAUCGUGACCUUGAGCACGUCCCAGCUUUAACCUCCUCCAAAUUACAACUUGGAUCCUAAUCCCUGCCCUGCUUGCCCGCUGGGUGGUGGGGUAAUAUAUUCCGGUGGCAGCGAGACUGCCAACUCCCCCUGCGUGCCUGUGCUCAGCCCGCCCAGAAUUUUGAGGUAGUUCAGGCCCUGGCCUGCGACCUCCUCCAGGAAGGGGCUCUCGGGGGUUUAGGCUCCGCGGAGCCCGCCGUGCUUCGGGCGGGGGGCGCACUCGCCCCGCACGGCCCCCGGUGCUUGGCUCCGGGGUGACCCCAGCAUCUGGCCGCGGCGGGCCGCAGUCGUGACACCCGGCUACCCCAGGCGGGAGGAGGAGCGGGCCGACGCAAUCUAGGCUGAAGGGCAAGUCGUGUAGGUUACCCCGAUCUGCGGCCGUGGUGAAGGCGACCCCGAGUCGCGCCAGAGAGCCACCAGCCUCAGGGAAGGCACGGGUUUGACUGUCAGACCGACGCGCGGAGAGUCCUUAAAGGAAGAAGUCUCCCAACCCUUCACAAAAAUGUAAAACCGUCUGGAAGAGGAAACAUCUACUGGAUUGGAAGGAGAUAAUUGCAAAUAAAAGAUUGGCUAGCAAUAGAAUUCAAAGGACUAAAGAGUCUGUGUGAUGCUACAGAUGAAAGCUCUACCCAGAGCUGGAGCUGGGUCCUGAGCCACAGCAGACAUUCAUGGUGGUUGAUGAGCCAUCAAAGGUGGGCCUGAGGACCUAGUACCAUCAAGGUCUGCCCAGAUUUGCAUUUUGUCUUCACCCAAUAAUGAAAGAUGUGGGUUUUGGAGGAAAGAAGAUUUUAGUGAAUGAUGAGCCAUCAGCAGGCCGCUCUGAUGAUGAGAUACCCUGCCAGGUAAUUCCCAGUUCUCUGCUGCCCACCCCACAACUUCCUCCUUCCUUGAAGCUACUCCUCAAGGACAUCCUUGGCAAACAGACUUCCUUUUUGCCCGACCUAAAAAAGUGCUUUUAAAAAGUCCCAUGGUUAUUUCCCAUUUCCCAGCAAAUGUAUAUUUACAGUAAAUAAACUUGUAGAAUUGAUGGUUUGUUGAGCA
This 1126-nucleotide long non-coding RNA is filed under the name Vulpes vulpes (red fox). RNAcentral describes it as "lncRNA (ENSVVUG00000019681.1)". The record is from RNAcentral. Lineage: Eukaryota; Metazoa; Chordata; Mammalia; Carnivora; Canidae.